CUCCGAAACGUGAGGGUUCCGCCAACUCUCCUCAUCGUCUCCUCCCUGCUCCCUCCUCUCCCACGUCGCUGCCCUCAAGCCCGCGCCCCUCCACCUCAUCUCCUCUCCGCUCCCUCCUCUCCAACGCCGCCGCCUUUGAUGCGCCGUUAGGGACGCCGUCGACACUACGUAGCGGUGGAGCUCAGUCCACUCCUAACCCUAUUCGCUCGAUUGACAAGACCAGGGCGACAGAUUGGAUCUAGGGCGCCCGCAUGGCCUCGCCGCCGCCGCCGGCUGGAUUCGCUAGCCGCCGCUUGGAGUCACCCUGGCUGCCGCCUCGAGUCACAUCCGUCGCCGCCGCGAAUCAGCUCCACCGUUGCGGUCAGGAAUCCCGUCCAGGCAAGGAAUUUGAUUGACGGAGGCAUCACUAUCUGGCGCUGGAUUAUACAUCACGUUCUGCACUCGCUCCGCAGAUGGGAGGAAACAGUGACGACAAGGCAGUUGUUAUGCAGAUAAUGAUGUUUUUGACUGGAAUCAACACCCUUCUACAGAGUUUCUUUGGUACCCGAUUGCCUGCGGUGAUUGGUGGAUCAUACACCUUUGUUCUACCUACCAUUUCGAUCAUACUUGCGGGACACUACACCAACGAACCAGAUCUACACACUAUAUGUUGAAAAGAAGGAAUUCCUCAAAAUCAUGCGUGGAACACAAGGUGCUUUGAUCGUUCCUUCUGUACUUGGUAUCGCAAGGCAUUCAGGUUCUCUUUAUAGCUUUCCUACACAGGAACAUAUUGCAAAAUUAAGAUACAUAACAUUGUUCCUGACUUAUGAAAGACGGUCGUUCUACCUACAGGUCUGCCUUAUAUCUACAGGUAUAUCCAUGCAUUCUUUAUUCUUUUUUUGCAGUGACCUACUGAUCUUCGUGAUUUAGUUUAGUGCUAGAGUUAGCAAAAUCUACUGAUCUUAUGUCUUUGUCAUGUUCCCCUUGUUUGGGUGGUCUACCUUUGGCUAUGAAUGUACGUAUAUUAUUGUCAUGUUCCCCUUAUCCCUGCAUCACUGAACAAUGCUGGCAAACUAAUGUCCCUUUGCCCUAUGUAAUGGUGUUACAGACUGCCAUUUGUUUUGUCGAGCUUACUAACUGAUUUUUUUUACAUUAUCAUGAAUAUGCUUUAGGCAUGCCUCUUCUCUGUUUCGGUGAAACAAGGUUUAGGGAACUCUUUUUAAAGACAUGUGUAUACACUAUACAGAACACAUGUUUCAUCGUCUUCGCUUUUUUUCAUGAGUUGUUGAAAAGAUCUUAUGAAGCUUGAUUGAUAAUGUUUCAACUCAGAUGAAGUGGUCUGUAUGAUAAGCUUUUGUAGAUCCUGGGGAUCGUUAUACCUUCUGUACAAUUCUCUGUUCUGGAUUCAAAUAGUUUGGGAGUGUUGCAUGCCUUUGUAUUGUGUUCAUAAACCUUGCUAAGUUUCUCCAUGUCCAGUCUUUUCUUCUAAGAAAAAACUCUUUUGUUGCAUCCACAUUAACCAUAUGUAUUUCCAUUUUCAUUUUUGAAUUGUAAACUGUAGCUGCUUAAAACUUUGGUAUAAAAUAAAGCCCUUAUUGGUAAAUGAGACACGUUAUUAGCAAUGUUUCACAUUUUCUUACUUGCAAUACCAUGCUUGCCUGUUCAGGUCUUCCAAGACCUAAAUCAUGAAAUCCAGCACAUACAACACCUUUUUUUAAACUUCGGUUACCCUGACACAAGCCUCCGUUCAAUUUUCUUAUACGGAGGGGUUAGAAAUAGUUACCUUACGUGCUUGCUUUCAAAACUACAUCUACUGAUAAAUGUUUUUUUUUCAAACCACACUGGGUAUCAUGGAUGGAUGAGGUUGUGGCAGUAGUUCGUGGGUGCAGUAUCUAUCUUGAUAAAGCGAUCGAUCAUGGCGCAUUGGAGGCAGAACAAGAGAAAAGCUUUGGGCGUCUGUGGUGUUGAACAUUCAGUGUUUAUGUGCUUUGUACAUGCACGACCAGUUCAGUAACUAGAUGGUCUUUUCUACUUUACUGGUGCUGCUACUUUUUCACAUGCUAGCUUAUUUGAAAAGCGCCAACAAUGUGUGCCACAUGUAAACAGUCCAUGUUGAAAGAAUAGAAGCAGAAGUGUGGAGAUGAUGUAAUUGGUCAGUCAGGAAAUUCAGUCUCAAUGAGCUCAACUAACGACAUGUGUGAGUUGAGCCUGAGGUCAUUUUCAAAGUAACAGAAGUAUUUUACUUUCCUUUU
Molecule: long non-coding RNA, 2231 nt
Organism: Triticum dicoccoides
Lineage: Eukaryota; Viridiplantae; Streptophyta; Magnoliopsida; Poales; Poaceae
Exons: 5
Source: RefSeq, a predicted model, not a curated record